UACGUUUUAAGUGAAUAACUACUUAUUCUAAUCGAAUACAAUAUGUAAAAAUAAUUACAUUUUAUUAUUUAAACUUAAACUUUAGCCAAAUGAAACAACAUGUCAUUUGCAACUAAUUUCACAUUUUCGUAAAAACCCUCUUUUUUGUUUUCUCAAUAGCUUGGUCUCUAUGGCAUCAAUCACGCUCAAAUUUCAGUAUGUUAUAGCUGGGCCUUAGAGCUUCGACUAAAAAAAAAAAAACGCAAAACUUCCCGGGCUAGAAUCAAAUUAUUUUUCUUUAAAUGGUUAUAGCUCUGUUUCUAACUCUCAUAAUUUGAUCAAUGAGGGCGUUUUGGUAAACUUUCGUGAAAUGCCGAUCUCCUUUUAACAUCAUAAGUUCGUAAAACUACAGCUAGGGGUGCUAUAAUUAAAAAGAAAACUUUCCAAUUUUCUAAGUUAAUUAGCUCCGGCUCUAUAGCACGGAUCGGGCUGAAAUUUUGGUAGAGGGAGCGGAUUGAGCUAAAAAUUCUUCAUGAAUCUCUCUUAAACAUGCCUAAGAAACUUACUUAUGUUAUAAAGAAUAAGGUAAAUACCAAUUAUUAAAGCAUUCUUAUUGAUUAGGUUUUUUAAAUUUUCAUUUUAAAAAAAUUGAAUGAAUUUCGCUCUAAAUCAUCCAAAAAUUUAAUAUUUGGCUGGCGUACACGCACGAACGCAAAUGCACGAGGGUCAGUGUAUUGUGUUCUUCAAAUGACGUGUUUGCAUAAAAUAAAUAAUAUUAGUUUCUAUAUGCAUUGAUUAUAACAAUUAAUAAUUUGAAUGAAAUUUAUAUUUAUUUAGAAUGAAAAACCAAUCAAAUCUAAUACUAUUUUUUGAAUCAAUAGCAUAAGUAUUUGAAAAAAAGGAAAUUACAUUCAGAUCUAUGACUGAUUUUAUCAGUACGGAAAACAUUAAAACGAGUCAGUCUUGAAGAAACCGCUGAGUUGAAAAGUUGUCACACAAAUUAUUUCCAAUCUAUUUGAAAAUGAAAAAAAAAACUAAAAAAAUGUUAGAGUGAAUAAGUAAACUUAUAAAGUGGCAAAAAUCAUCAAGUGAUCGACAAAGAAAUUUGAUAAAGUGUUGGAAAUCGUUAGAUUGGUUCAAUCGAUCAUCCUGAUUGCAAGUCAUUGUUGAUUGGAAACGUCCGUGAGCAGAAGCUGGAAAAUUAUCCCCAUCUGUUUUAUCGAACUACUUUUCUUCAAAAAUUCCAUCUAGGAGAGACCUAAAUAGUAUCAAGGUAAGAAAAUUGAUUUUUUUUUGUAAUGCAAUAAGAAUUACAUAAUCUGUGAAAGUUAGCAUUGAUCUUUACAAAGAAAUAUUGGACCUCGCAUAAUUUUUUUAUUAUAAAAAUGUUAAUUAUAUCAACUUAUUUAUGUUGAAUAUGUAUUUUCAAUUAUCGCUUUGGAAAAUAUCAUACUGGAAAAGUUUUUAAUUUCAUUUUUAUUUUUAUUCUUUCUUUUAUCAAUCGUGGUAACCGUUGAAUCCGUUCACUGGGCAAAGGACAAUCAUUGUCUUUUCCAUGGAAUUGGAAAAGUGAUUCGCAGAUAGCAGCAGAACUCAGAGGAAACAGUAAAGGCCGUAAAUCUGCAAAACACAACUUAGAAAAGUGAGCGCUGUAAUAAAAGUAGACGAGGAGCACUACCACUGAUCAAAUUUCAUUAUGUCAUCGUUUAUCUUUACGGGGCAAAACACAAUCAGUCUUUUGAAAUAUCUUAUUUCUUCUGAAACUGGUAAACACAAUUGGGAGAAAGCAGAAGAACAUACAUCCAAAAGCUGAGAAGAAGACUUCACGAAACUACUAGAAAGUCGUGCAACACCCCAUAGAAAUUAAUGUAAUACAAUUUUAUUGUGAAUACACAUUAUUUAUGUCAAAUAAAUUUAUUUUUGAAAUCAUAGCAAGAGUUUUUUAAAUAUACCCUGGUACU
Phlebotomus papatasi is the source of this 1940-nucleotide long non-coding RNA. RefSeq lists it as uncharacterized. The transcript has 3 exons. The record is from RefSeq and is a predicted model, not a curated record. NCBI's taxonomy places the organism in Eukaryota, Metazoa, Arthropoda, Insecta, Diptera, Psychodidae.